Molecule: ribosomal RNA, 468 nt
Filed under: uncultured bacterium
Lineage: Bacteria
Description: partial 16S ribosomal RNA
Rfam family: Bacterial small subunit ribosomal RNA
Source: RNAcentral
GACGAACGCUGGCGGCGUGCUUAACACAUGCAAGUCGAACGGAAAGGCCCUGCUUUUGUGGGGUGCUCGAGUGGCGAACGGGUGAGUAACACGUGAGUAACCUGCCCUUGACUUUGGUAUAACUUCAGGAAACUGGGGCUACUACCGGAUAGGAUCUCCUGUUGCAUUGUGGGGGUUGGAAAGUUUAGGCGGUUGGGGAUGGACUCGCGGCUUAUCAGCUUGUUGGUGGGGUAGUGGCUUACCAAGGCUUUGACGGGUAGCCGGCCUGAGAGGGUGACCGGCGACAUUGGGACUGAGAGACGGACCAGACUCCUACGGGAGGCAGCAGGGGGGAAUAUUGCACAAUGGGCGGAAGCCUGAUGAAGAAACGCCGCGGGCGGGAUGACGGCCUUCGGGUUGUAAACCGCUUUCGCCUGAGACGAAGCGUGAGUGACGGUAAUGGGUAAAGAAGCACCGGCUAACUACGUG